CGCCCUUGAGUUUGAUCAUGGCUCAGGACGAACGCUGGCGGCGUGCCUAACACACGCAAGUCGAGCGAUGAAACCCUUCGGGGUGGAUUAGCGGCCGACGGGUGAGUAACACGUGGGUAACCUGCCUCAAAGAGGGGGAUAGCCUCCCGAAAGGGAGAUUAAUACCGCAUAACAUUAUUUUUUCGCAUGAAGAGAUAAUCAAAGGAGUAAUCCGCUUUGAGAUGGACCCGCGGCGCAUUAGCUAGUUGGUGAGGUAAUGGCUCACCAAGGCAACGAUGCGUAGCCGACCUGAGAGGGUGAUCGGCCACAUUGGAACUGAUAUACGGUCCAGACUCCUACGGGAGGCAGCAGUGGGGAAUAUUGCGCAAUGGGGGAAACCCUGACGCAGCAACGCCGUUUUUUUUGAAGAAGGCCUUCGGGUUGUAAAGCUCUGUCUUCUGGGACGAUAAUGACGGUACCAGAGGAGGAAGCCACGGCUAACUACGUGCCAGCAGCCGCGGUAC
This 503-nucleotide ribosomal RNA is filed under the name uncultured Clostridium sp. Its description in RNAcentral is "bacterial SSU rRNA". It matches the Rfam family "Bacterial small subunit ribosomal RNA", at positions 1 to 523 of the family's 1533-position model. The record is from RNAcentral. Lineage: Bacteria; Bacillati; Bacillota; Clostridia; Eubacteriales; Clostridiaceae.